UGCUUAUCAAAACCUCGAAAUUACAUUUUCUUCAACUUCCAAUCGCAACAACUCUCCAUCAAACCGUCGAUUCCCCAUGGACUCGACCUCAACUUCCACGUCGAGAUUCCGAUUCAGAGAUCACAAUCAGGAAAUCGCCGCCGGCGAAGACUCGUCGGAGGGCCACACCACCGCCGAUUCUUCCUCCGUUUCGAGUAACGAAGAUGAAUACCCGCCGGAGCUUCAGUCCAU
Molecule: long non-coding RNA, 231 nt
Filed under: Erythranthe guttata (spotted monkey flower)
Lineage: Eukaryota; Viridiplantae; Streptophyta; Magnoliopsida; Lamiales; Phrymaceae
Description: long non-coding RNA (EGUT_LNC000275)
Source: RNAcentral